This 429-nucleotide ribosomal RNA is filed under the name Bacteroidota bacterium. RNAcentral describes it as "Bacteroidetes bacterium partial 16S ribosomal RNA". It matches the Rfam family "Bacterial small subunit ribosomal RNA", at positions 355 to 776 of the family's 1533-position model. The record is from RNAcentral. Lineage: Bacteria; Pseudomonadati; Bacteroidota.
UAGGGAAUCUUCCGCAAUGGACGCAAGUCUGACGGAGCAACGCCGCGUGAGUGAAGAAGGAUUUCGGUUCGUAAAACUCUGUUGUUAGAGAAGAACAGCGCAUAGAGUAACUGUUAUGCGUGUGACGGUAUCUAACCAGAAAGCCACGGCUAACUACGUGCCAGCAGCCGCGGUAAUACGUAGGUGGCAAGCGUUGUCCGGAUUUAUUGGGCGUAAAGCGAGCGCAGGCGGUCAAUUAAGUCUGAUGUGAAAGCCCCCGGCUCAACCGGGGAGGGUCAUUGGAAACUGGUUGACUUGAGUGGAGAAGAGGAGAGUGGAAUUCCAUGUGUAGCGGUGAAAUGCGUAGAUAUAUGGAGGAACACCAGUGGCGAAGGCGACUCUCUGGUCUGUAACUGACGCUGAGGUUCGAAAGCGUGGGUAGCAAACAGG